AGGUGAACAGACGUGUGGUUUCCGAAUGGAACCAGGCCGCAGUUCAGCAGUGAGAGUCGGAAUGCGGCCCCUCGGGUGUUGCCAUGGUGACGCCGUAACUCGGUUGAAGGCGGCGGUGGGAAAAAAAUAAAAUAAAGUUUCAGCGAAGGUUGACAGGCAGCUGAAGAUGAACAGAGUGAUGACGCGGUGACGCACAGCGCCUCUUCUACCUCACAUCACCACCAACAUCAACAAAAGGAGGAAAGGUUCCGGGUACAGGAUGUCGGGGUCUCUCCAAACCAGCUUGAUAGCAGAUACAUCAGUUCAGCUCCCCUCCAAAGAAGAAGUUGCAUUGUUCAGGAACAGUCUGAAGCAGAACAUCUGUGUGCAGAUGCUAAAAGAAGGCUACCACAGGU
Long non-coding RNA from Monopterus albus (swamp eel), 395 nucleotides. RefSeq lists it as uncharacterized. The record is from RefSeq and is a predicted model, not a curated record. Lineage: Eukaryota; Metazoa; Chordata; Actinopteri; Synbranchiformes; Synbranchidae. The transcript is spliced from 4 exons.